GGAGGCAGCAGUGGGGAAUAUUGCACAAUGGGCGCAAGCCUGAUGCAGCCAUGCCGCGUGUGUGAAGAAGGCCUUCGGGUUGUAAAGCACUUUCAGUCGUGAGGAAGGUAGUGUAGUUAAUAGCUGCAUUAUUUGACGUUAGCGACAGAAGAAGCACCGGCUAACUCCGUGCCAGCAGCCGCGGUAAUACGGAGGGUGCGAGCGUUAAUCGGAAUUACUGGGCGUAAAGCGCAUGCAGGUGGUUUGUUAAGUCAGAUGUGAAAGCCCGGGGCUCAACCUCGGAAUAGCAUUUGAAACUGGCAGACUAGAGUACUGUAGAGGGGGGUAGAAUUUCAGGUGUAGCGGUGAAAUGCGUAGAGAUCUGAAGGAAUACCGGUGGCGAAGGCGGCCCCCUGGACAGAUACUGACACUCAGAUGCGAAAGCGUGGGGAGCAAACAGGAUUAGAUACCCUGGUAGUCCACGCCGUAAACGAUGUCUACUUGGAGGUUGUGGCCUUGAGCCGUGGCUUUCGGAGCUAACGCGUUAAGUAGACCGCCUGGGGAGUACGGUCGCAAGAUUAAAACUCAAAUGAAUUGACGGGGGCCCGCACAAGCGGUGGAGCAUGUGGUUUAAUUCGAUGCAACGCGAAGAACCUUACCUACUCUUGACAUCCAGAGAACUUCCAGAGA
Molecule: ribosomal RNA, 669 nt
Filed under: Vibrio sp.
Lineage: Bacteria; Pseudomonadati; Pseudomonadota; Gammaproteobacteria; Vibrionales; Vibrionaceae
Description: bacterial SSU rRNA
Rfam family: Bacterial small subunit ribosomal RNA
Source: RNAcentral